RNAcentral lists this ribosomal RNA (468 nucleotides) under uncultured bacterium. RNAcentral's name for it is "partial 16S ribosomal RNA". It matches the Rfam family "Bacterial small subunit ribosomal RNA", at positions 28 to 507 of the family's 1533-position model. The record is from RNAcentral.
GACGAACGCUGGCGGCGUGCUUAACACAUGCAAGUCGAACGGAAAGGCCCUGCUUUUGUGGGGUGCUCGAGUGGCGAACGGGUGAGUAACACGUGAGUAACCUGCCCUUGACUUUGGGAUAACUUCAGGAAACUGGGGCUAAUACCGGAUAGGAGCUCCUGCUGCAUGGCGGGGGUUGGAAAGUUUCGGCGGUUGGGGAUGGACUCGCGGCUUAUCAACUUGUUGGUGGGGUAGUGGCUUACCAAGGCUUUGACGGGUAGCCGGCCUGAGAGGGUGACCGGCCACAUUGGGACUGAGAUACGGCCCAGACUCCUACGGGAGGCAGCAGUGGGGAAUAUUGCACAAUGGGCGGAAGCCUGAUGCAGCAACGCCGCGUGCGGGAUGACGGCCUUCGGGCUGUAAACCGCUUUCGCCUGUGACGAAGCGUGAGUGACGGUAAUGGGUAAAGAAGCACCGGCUAACUACGUG